This 72-nucleotide transfer RNA is filed under the name Stegodyphus mimosarum. It matches the Rfam family "tRNA". Rfam says of the family: Transfer RNA (tRNA) molecules are approximately 80 nucleotides in length. Their secondary structure includes four short double-helical elements and three loops (D, anti-codon, and T loops). The record is from Rfam by way of RNAcentral. Lineage: Eukaryota; Metazoa; Arthropoda; Arachnida; Araneae; Eresidae.
GCCUUCGUGGUGUAAUGGUCAGCACACUUGGCACGUAUUCGAGAGGUCCAUGUUCAAGUCCUGGUGAGGACA